AGAUGUACAAUGCAGGUGAUCCAGACUCCAAACAUGGUGUCUGCAAAUGAGGGAGGCACAGUCACCAUCAAUUGCCAGAAAAUUCAGAGCUUUAGCAGUAGGUUAUCCUGGUAUCAGCAGAAACCAGAACAACCUCCAAAGCUCCUGAUCUACUGGGCAUCCACUUUAGCCUCUGGGGUCCCUGACAGGUUCAAGGGCAGUGGAUCUGGGACAUCAUUCACUCUCACCAUCAGCCCUGUGCAGGCUGCGGAUGCCGGAAUCUACUACUGUUUUGGUGAUUAUAGUG
Long non-coding RNA from Ochotona curzoniae (black-lipped pika), 286 nucleotides. RefSeq lists it as uncharacterized. The transcript is spliced from 2 exons. The record is from RefSeq and is a predicted model, not a curated record. NCBI's taxonomy places the organism in Eukaryota, Metazoa, Chordata, Mammalia, Lagomorpha, Ochotonidae.